GCUGAACGCUUUCUUCUUUCUUAACACAUGCAAGUCGAACGGAAAGGCUCCUGCUUGCAGGGGUACUCGAGUGGCGAACGGGUGAGUAACACGUGGGUGAUCUGCCCUGCACUUCGGGAUAAGCCUGGGAAACUGGGUCUAAUACCGGAUAGGACGAUGGUUUGGAUGCCAUUGUGGAAAGUUUUUCGGUGUGGGAUGAGCUCGCGGCCUAUCAGCUUGUUGGUGGGGUAAUGGCCUACCAAGGCGUCGACGGGUAGCCGGCCUGAGAGGGUGUACGGCCACAUUGGGACUGAGAUACGGCCCAGACUCCUACGGGAGGCAGCAGUGGGGAAUAUUGCACAAUGGGCGCAAGCCUGAUGCAGCGACGCCGCGUGGGGGAUGACGGCCUUCGGGUUGUAAACUCCUUUCGCUAGGGACGAAGCGCAAGUGACGGUACCUGGAGAAGAAGCAACGGCUAACUACGUG
RNAcentral lists this ribosomal RNA (465 nucleotides) under uncultured bacterium. RNAcentral's name for it is "partial 16S ribosomal RNA". It matches the Rfam family "Bacterial small subunit ribosomal RNA", at positions 28 to 507 of the family's 1533-position model. The record is from RNAcentral.